UUGCCCCUUAGCUUAGUUGGUCAGAACAGACGGCUCAUAACCGUCCGAUCGUAAGUUCAAUUCCUACAGGGUACA
This 75-nucleotide transfer RNA is filed under the name Enterococcus villorum. Its description in RNAcentral is "tRNA-Met". The stretch from base 5 to 71 matches the Rfam family "tRNA". Rfam says of the family: Transfer RNA (tRNA) molecules are approximately 80 nucleotides in length. Their secondary structure includes four short double-helical elements and three loops (D, anti-codon, and T loops). The record is from RNAcentral. Lineage: Bacteria; Bacillati; Bacillota; Bacilli; Lactobacillales; Enterococcaceae.